RNAcentral lists this ribosomal RNA (618 nucleotides) under Triticum aestivum (bread wheat). RNAcentral describes it as "partial small subunit ribosomal RNA". Lineage: Eukaryota; Viridiplantae; Streptophyta; Magnoliopsida; Poales; Poaceae. The record is from RNAcentral.
AUGGAGCCUGUUUCGAAAAUCCAAAUCCCGAACUCGACGGAUAUUUACACGCGGAACAAACUGAAAAAAGAAAAAAGAGAAGAACUCGAGAGGGAGCAAUCCAAAGGGAGCCAAACGGAGCGCGCUUGCCAACACAACAAGGGAAUGUCUCGCGCGCGCGCGUGCCCGCGUCAGGGCGGCGCGGCCGGCGCGCGGCAGGUGGGGCAGGAGGGGCGGCGUGACCCUGCGGCGGAGGUGGGGACGGCGAGCCAGCGCUCGAUGCAGCGCGCGUGGAAGCCGUGGCCGCACGCCGGCAUGGCGCGCACGGCGUCGCCCUCCGCGAACUCGGCCAGGCAGAUGGCGCACUCGUGCGCGGCCGCGCCCGCCAGCCGCGUCCCGGACGCCGAGUACACCAGCAGCGGCGGCAGCGGGGGCGGCGGCGCGGGCUCCGCCACGGCCGGCUUCUCCGGGUCUCCUUCAGCCGCGCCGUCGACGCCCCGCCCCUGCCGCUGCCGUUGCCGGCGGCGGCGGAGCAGGCACCUGACGCCGGCGUGGAGCGCGAGGGCGAGCGCGAGCGCGGCGAGCAGGGACGCGAGGAUGAUGGCCAUGUUGCCCGCGAAGUCGCCCGCGCCCGAGUAG